RNAcentral lists this ribosomal RNA (494 nucleotides) under uncultured bacterium. Its description in RNAcentral is "partial 16S ribosomal RNA". It matches the Rfam family "Bacterial small subunit ribosomal RNA", at positions 28 to 507 of the family's 1533-position model. The record is from RNAcentral.
GACGAACGCUGGCGGCGUGCUUGACACAUGCAAGUCGAACGGAAAGGCCUGCUUUCCCUUGUGGAUUGCGGGUACUCGAGUGGCGAACGGGUGAGUAACACGUGAGUGAUCUGCCCCCAACUUGGGUAUAAGCCUGGGAAACUGGGUCUAAUUCCCGAUAGGACUGCAGGGUGGUGCCUGUGGUGGAAAACGAUUUUCUAGUGGUUGGGGAUGAGCUCGCGGCCUAUCAGCUUGUUGGUGGGGUAAUGGCCUACCAAGGCGGCGACGGGUAGCCGGCCUGAGAUGGUGGACGUCCACAUUGGGACUGAGAUACGGCCCAGACUCCUACGGGAGGCAGCAGUGGGGAAUAUUACACAAUGGGCGGAAGCCUGAUGCAGCGACGCGGCGUGGGGGAUGACGACCUUCGGGUUGUAGACUCCUUUCGACCGCGAGGAAGCCACCUGGUUGGAAGGGUGGUGACGGUAAUGGUAGAAGAAGCACCGGCUAACUACGUG